AUACGUAGGGAGCGAGCGUUGUCCGGAAUUACUGGGUGUAAAGGGAGCGUAGGCGGGAGUGCAAGUCAGAUGUGAAAUACAUGGGCUCAACCCAUGGGCUGCAUUUGACACUGUGGUUCUUGAGUGAAGUAGAGGUAAGCGGAAUUCCUGGUGUAGCGGUGAAAUGCGUAGAUAUCAGGAGGAACACCGGUGGCGAAGGCGGCUUACUGGGCUUUUACUGACGCUGAGGCUCGAAAGCGUGGGGAGCAAACAGGAUUAGAUACCCUGGUAGUCCACGCUGUAAACGAUGAUUACUAGGUGUGGGGGGACUGACCCCUUCCGUGCCGCAGUUAACACAAUAAGUAAUCCACCUGGGGAGUACGGCCGCAAGGUUGAAACUCAAAUGAAUUGGCGGGG
This 396-nucleotide ribosomal RNA is filed under the name uncultured bacterium. Its description in RNAcentral is "partial 16S ribosomal RNA". It matches the Rfam family "Bacterial small subunit ribosomal RNA", at positions 523 to 918 of the family's 1533-position model. The record is from RNAcentral.